Molecule: ribosomal RNA, 466 nt
Filed under: uncultured bacterium
Lineage: Bacteria
Description: partial 16S ribosomal RNA
Rfam family: Bacterial small subunit ribosomal RNA
Source: RNAcentral
GACGAACGCUGGCGGCGUGCUUAACACAUGCAAGUCGAACGGAAAGGCCCUGCUUGCCGGGUACUCGAGUGGCGAACGGGUGAGUAACACGUGGGUGAUCUGCCCUGCACUUCGGGAUAAGCUUGGGAAACUGGGUCUAAUACCGGAUAGGAACCAUCUUUAGUGUGGUGGUUGGAAAGUUUUUUCGGUGUAGGAUGAGCUCGCGGCCUAUCAGCUUGUUGGUGGGGUAAUGGCCUACCAAGACGGCGACGGGUAGCCGGCCUGAGAGGGUGUACGGCCACAUUGGGACUGAGAUACGGCCCAGACUCCUACGGGAGGCAGCAAUGGGGAAUAUUGCACAAUGGGCGCAAGCCUGAUGCAGCGACGCCGCGUGGGGGAUGAAGGCCUUCGGGUUGUAAACUCCUUUCGCUAGGGACGAAGCUUUGUUGUGACGGUACCUAGAUAAGAAGCACCGGCUAACUACGUG